AUAUCAUUGUCAUAAAAGUGAUGAAAGGCUCCAGCUACAUUUUGGUUAAGUAAUUCUUUCUUCUGUGUGAUAAAAUUAUUAAUUGCCACAUUUUCAGAAUUAAAUAUUAUUAAUCCAGUUCUACAAUGAUAUUCCAUCUGCAAAGUUCAUAUCAACUUUGUUUUUAAUAUAUAUUAAUAUAAUAUAAAUCAAUUUUGACAAAACAAAUUUUAUCUGUAGGAAAAUUGCCUCUAAAAUAAUGCCAGGUAGCUGGAAAGAACCACAGAAGAAGGUAAUGUAAAUAUAAAUGUGUGUUGCUAGUAUAAGACAAAAAACACACACAGAUAUCUCCUUUACUAAUCACCUCUUCAUAUGAUCGAAUCUACACAAACAGACUGACAGCCUGGACUGCUCAGGGUAAGUGGAGGACACUCUGCCAGUAGUAAGAUGUAAAUGUUGAUUUAAAAUAAUAACUUGCUUUUUUAUUUAGUAUGCUCUCUACAUUGCCACUGGAAGAGCAUUUGAUUUCAGUCAGGAAGACAUGCCAAAAAUUAGAAGAUGGUGGUGUCAUCUCUUACUUCACAAAGCCAGCAUUAAAGCCAAGACUUCGGUCUUCACUUUCCACACGAGAAGAAGGACAUUCUGUGCCCCACGGGCAGUGCUUCGUAAUUAUCAGUUGAAAAGCUUUCUGACACUAAUUUUAUAUAUUAGAACUUCACAAAAAGACUUUGACCAACUGGUCACACAGCAGAUCUCCAGUGAGGCUGUCAGUAACUUGUGUCUCUCGUCAGCCCUGUGGUGUGUCAGUGCGUUAUGGGGGCAGAGAAUGGUGGUCUUAAAAAGGAGGGUUUUGUGUGCUUGUGCUCUAACUGAUUUAUUAAAUGGCAAUUAUUUCUGCUUCCAGCAAUUCCAGACAAGAUAGGAAAGAGCAAGGACUUUUCUCCCCACCCUUCUUUUCCAUUACUAAAGAAUAUGAAAAUCUUGACUGAAUUAUUUAUGCCAGUACAAUCAUAUUAAGCAUAUUUAUGGUUACAUUUAGUUAGCAAAUUGUACCUCACAAAGGCACAGUCCUGUCAGGUAUGUAGUGAAAUGACUCUUAUGGCACAGCCAAUGCCUUAAAGGUGAUGACUUUCUGUUUCCUUUUCAAUAUCAUUCAGAAAUCAACCAGUCUAGAAUGGAGUAAUUGUUUGCUUCAGGUAAACACUUUCCAUUAUGUAUAACUUUUUAGAUGUAGCAUUUCUAUUGUAAUAUGUUUGGGUGAAUGUUUCAGCAGUUUUUAAAGCAUGCUUACUAAACUGGGAACAAUUAAAUUACAUAUUAUUUGAAAUUAUGAUAUUUGAAAUGAUGAAUUUGGCCUUCACAAGUGACAAUGCUGUGCUAAUUGGACUCUUUGUCUUUCAGGGACUCACUUCAGUACAAUUCCAGUAGACGUUCAGAUUGAACUGAAAUGGGUCUUACAGCAAUGUAUUAGUAAAUAAAAUGAAUGCUUUUUUCACUACA
This is a long non-coding RNA of Polypterus senegalus (gray bichir), 1479 nucleotides long. RefSeq lists it as uncharacterized. NCBI's taxonomy places the organism in Eukaryota, Metazoa, Chordata, Cladistia, Polypteriformes, Polypteridae. The transcript is spliced from 3 exons. The record is from RefSeq and is a predicted model, not a curated record.